ACCGAUAAAGAGUUGAGUGGCGAACGGGUGAGUAACACGUGGGCAACCUGCCCAAAAGAGGGGGAUAACACUUGGAAACAGGUGCUAAUACCGCAUAACCAUAGUUACCGCAUGGUAACUAUGUAAAAGGUGGCUAUGCUACCGCUUUUGGAUGGGCCCGCGGCGCAUUAGCCAGUUGGUGGGGUAAAGGCUUACCAAGGCAAUGAUGCGUAGCCGAACUGAGAGGUUGAUCGGCCACAUUGGGACUGAGACACGGCCCAAACUCCUACGGGAGGCAGCAGUAGGGAAUCUUCCACAAUGGGCGAAAGCCUGAUGGAGCAACGCCGCGUGGGUGAAGAAGGUCUUCGGAUCGUAAAACCCUGUUGUUAGAGAAGAAAGUGCGUGAGAGUAACUGUUCACGUUUCGACGGUAUCUAACCAGAAAGCCACGGCUAACUACGUGCCAGCAGCCGCGGUAAUACGUAGGUGGCAAGCGUUAUCCGGAUUUAUUGGGCGUAAAGGGAACGCAGGCGGUCUUUUAAGUCUGAUGUGAAAGCCUUCGGCUUAACCGGAGUAGUGCAUUGGAAACUGGGAGACUUGAGUGCAGAAGAGGAGAGUGGAACUCCAUGUGUAGCGGUGAAAUGCGUAGAUAUAUGGAAGAACACCAGUGGCGAAAGCGGCUCUCUGGUCUGUA
Molecule: ribosomal RNA, 672 nt
Filed under: uncultured bacterium
Lineage: Bacteria
Description: bacterial SSU rRNA
Rfam family: Bacterial small subunit ribosomal RNA
Source: RNAcentral